GUGUCCCAAGUCACUAUUUUUAUUAUUAAAUCCCAAAUCGAAGAAAAUUCGACUUUUAUUUUGAAGUCUGCAAACCAAAAAAUUUGAAUAAGAAAUUCUAUUAACUCGGGGAGGUGUUAGGCACCCCCGAAUUUCGUGGUUCUAGCACGGUCACUUAAACUAUUAUAAUUUGAAUAUUAUCUAAUUUUACUACAUGUUAUAGCUAUGGUAUAUUUUAAAUU
This 221-nucleotide long non-coding RNA is filed under the name Nicotiana benthamiana. Its description in RNAcentral is "long non-coding RNA (NBEN_LNC018770)". The record is from RNAcentral. Lineage: Eukaryota; Viridiplantae; Streptophyta; Magnoliopsida; Solanales; Solanaceae.